CAGCCGCCGCGGUAAUACGAAGGGUGCAAGCGUUAAUCGGAAUUACUGGGCGUAAAGCGUGCGUAGGCGGUGAGUUAAGUCUGCUGUGAAAUCCCCGGGCUCAACCUGGGAAUGGCAGUGGAUACUGGCUCGCUAGAGUGUGUCAGAGGAUGGUGGAAUUCCCGGUGUAGCGGUGAAAUGCGUAGAGAUCGGGAGGAACAUCAGUGGCGAAGGCGGCCAUCUGGGACAACACUGACGCUGAGGCACGAAAGCGUGGGGAGCAAACAGGAUUAGAUACCCGGGUAGUCCCUGUCUCUUAUAA
Molecule: ribosomal RNA, 301 nt
Filed under: uncultured bacterium
Lineage: Bacteria
Description: partial 16S ribosomal RNA
Rfam family: Bacterial small subunit ribosomal RNA
Source: RNAcentral